This 850-nucleotide ribosomal RNA is filed under the name Bacillus subtilis. RNAcentral's name for it is "bacterial SSU rRNA". Lineage: Bacteria; Bacillati; Bacillota; Bacilli; Caryophanales; Bacillaceae. The record is from RNAcentral.
CGUGGGUAACCUGCCUGUAAGACUGGGAUAACUCCUGGGAAACCGGGGCUAAUACCGGAUGGUUGUUUGAACCGCAUGGUUCAAUAUAAAAGGUGGCUUCGGCUACCACUUACAGAUGGACCUGGCGCGGCGCAUUAGCUAGUUGGUGAGGUAACGGCUCACCAAGGCGACGAUGCGUAGCCGACCUGAGAGGGUGAUCGGCCACACUGGGACUGAGACACGGCCCAGACUCCUACGGGAGGCAGCAGUAGGGAAUCUUCCGCAAUGGACGAAAGUCUGACGGAGCAACGCCGCGUGAGUGAUGAAGGUUUUCGGAUCGUAAAGCUCUGUUGUUAGGGAAGAACAAGURCCGUUCRAAUAGGGCGGYACCUUGACGGUACCUAACCAGAAAGCCACGGCUAACUACGUGCCAGCAGCCGCGGUAAUACGUAGGUGGCAAGCGUUGUCCGGAAUUAUUGGGCGUAAAGGGCUCGCAGGCGGUUUCUUAAGUCUGAUGUGAAAGCCCCCGGCUCAACCGGGGAGGGUCAUUGGAAACUGGGGAACUUGAGUGCAGAAGAGGAGAGUGGAAUUCCACGUGUAGCGGUGAAAUGCGUAGAGAUGUGGAGGAACACCAGUGGCGAAGGCGACUCUCUGGUCUGUAACUGACGCUGAGGAGCGAAAGCGUGGGGAGCGAACAGGAUUAGAUACCCUGGUAGUCCACGCCGUAAACGAUGAGUGCUAAGUGUUAGGGGGUUUCCGCCCCUUAGUGCUGCAGCUAACGCAUUAAGCACUCCGCCUGGGGAGUACGGUCGCAAGACUGAAACUCAAAGGAAUUGACGGGGGCCCGCACAAGCGGUGGAGCAUGUGGUUU